Molecule: ribosomal RNA, 423 nt
Filed under: uncultured bacterium
Lineage: Bacteria
Description: partial 16S ribosomal RNA
Rfam family: Bacterial small subunit ribosomal RNA
Source: RNAcentral
AGUUUUGGACAAUGUGGGAAACCCUGACCCAUCCAUCCAUCGCGUAUUAUUAAUGCCUUCGUUUUGUAAAGUACUUUUGUCAGAGAAGAAAGGGCACCUCCUAAUACGAGGUACUGUUGACUGUAUCUGCAUUAUAAUCACCUGAUACCUAGGUUCCUGCAGCCGCGGUAAUACGUAGGUUGCAAGCGUUAAUAGGAAUUAAGGGGCGUAAAGAGGUGUUAGGAGGUUCGGAAAGAAAGAUGUGAAAUCCCAGGGCUCAAACUUGGAACUGCAUUUUUAACUGCCGAGCUAGAGUAUGUAAGAGGGGGGUAGAAUUCCACGUGUAGCAGUGAAAUGCGUAGAUAUGUGGAGGAAUACCGAUGGCGAAGGCAGCCCCCUGGGAUAAUACUGACGCUCAGACACGAAAGCGUGGGGAGCAAACAG